This 497-nucleotide ribosomal RNA is filed under the name uncultured bacterium. RNAcentral describes it as "partial 16S ribosomal RNA". It matches the Rfam family "Bacterial small subunit ribosomal RNA", at positions 28 to 507 of the family's 1533-position model. The record is from RNAcentral.
GAUGAACGCUGGCGGCGUGCCUAAUACAUGCAAGUCGAGCGAACGGACGAGAAGCUUGCUUCUCUGAUGUUAGCGGCGGACGGGUGAGUAACACGUGGAUAACCUACCUAUAAGACUGGGAUAACUUCGGGAAAUCGUAGCUAAUACCGGAUAAUAUUUUGAACCGCAUGGUUCAAAAGUGAAAGACGGUCUUCCUGUCACUUAUAGAUGGAUCCGCGCUGCAUUAGCUAGUUGGUAAGGUAACGGCUUACCAAGGCAACGAUGCAUAGCCGACCUGAGAGGGUGAUCGGCCACACUGGAACUGAGACACGGUCCAGACUCCUACGGGAGGCAGCAGUAGGGAAUCUUCCGCAAUGGGCGAAAGCCUGACGGAGCAACGCCGCGUGAGUGAUGAAGGUCUUCGGAUCGUAAAACUCUGUUAUUAGGGAAGAACAUAUGUGUAAGUAACUGUGCACAUCUUGACGGUACCUGAUCAGAAAGCCACGGCUAACUACGUG